ACCGAGUAUCUUCGUUCGGUGAAAGAAACACCUCAUCGUCCAUCAGACGGGCUUUCAAAUACCGAGUCUUCGGAUGGGUUGAAUAAGCUACUUGCUCAUCUGCUUAUGCUUUCUAAGAGGUGUCCCUUCAAAGAUGUGAGAGAGAAAAGUGAGUUUAUUCUGAAGAGCAUCCAGUGUACUCAAAGUGAAGACCGUAAGAAUGAAGAUCUUCAUGAUUAUCCACGUCCACUUAAUGAAUGCAUAGCAAAUGAUGUCUCCAUUCCUACAGCAUGCUAUUCCAGGCACCAUGUGCAGACAUGACUAUCUGCAGCUAAGAAGAAAAGAGUUUCUUCCCACGUCUCUCUCUCGGGGAAGAAAACCUUUCCCAGAAACCCUCUAGCA
RNAcentral lists this long non-coding RNA (381 nucleotides) under Homo sapiens (human). Its description in RNAcentral is "non-protein coding lnc-CD164-2:1". The record is from RNAcentral. Lineage: Eukaryota; Metazoa; Chordata; Mammalia; Primates; Hominidae.